UCGGGAAACUGAGGCUAAUAGUUCAUACCCGUCUCCCGCUGGAAUGCCGAGACGUGCAAACGCUCACGCGCUGUAGGACGUGGCUGCGGCCGAUUAGGUAGACGGUGGGGUAACGGCCCACCGUGCCGAUAAUCGGUACGGGUUGUGAGAGCAAGAACCCGGAGACGGAAUCUGAGACAAGAUUCCGGGCCCUACGGGGCGCAGCAGGCGCGAAACCUUUACACUGCACGCAAGUGCGAUAAGGGGACCCCGAGUGCGAGGGCAUACAGUCCUCGCUUUUCAGUACCGUAGGGAGGUACUGGAAUAAGAGCUGGGCAAGACCGGUGCCAGCCGCCGCGGUAAUACCGGCAGCUCGAGUGAUGGCCGAUUUUAUUGGGCCUAAAGCGUUCGUAGCCGGCCACGCAAGUCCAUCGGGAAAUCCGCCAGCCUAACUGGCGGGCGUCCGGUGGAAACUGUGUGGCUCGGGACCGGAAGACCCGAAGGGUACGUCUUGGGUAGGAGUGAAAUCCUGUAAUCCUGGACGGACCGCCGAUGGCGAAAGCACUUCGGGAAGACGGAUCCGACGGUGAGGAACGAAAGCCAGGGUCUCGAACCGGAUUAGAUACCCGGGUAGUCCUGGCCGUAAACGAUGUCUGCUAGGUGUGACUCCCACUACGAGUGGGUGUUGUGCCGUAGGGAAGCCGCUAAGCAGACCGCCUGGGAAGUACGUCCGCAAGGAUGAAACUUAAAGGAAUUGGCGGGGGAGCACUACAACCGGAGGAGCCUGCGGUUUAAUUGGACUCAACGCCGGACAUCUCACCAGCAUCGACAACAGCAAUGACGGUCAGGUUGAUGACCUUGCCAGAGCUGUUGAGAGGAGGUGCAUGGCCGCCGUCAGCUCGUACCGUGAGGCGUCCUGUUAAGUCAGGCAACGAGCGAGACCCGCACUCCUAAUUGCCAGCACCGGCUUCGGCCGGGUGGGUACAUUAGGAGGACUGCCGUGGCCAACACGGAGGAAGGAACGGGCAACGGUAGGUCAGUAUGCCCCGAAUGUGCUGGGCUACACGCGGGCUACAAUGGCCAAGACAAUGGGUUCCAACCUCGAAAGAGGACGGUAAUCUCCUAAACUUGGUCGUAGUUCGGAUUGAGGGCUGAAACCCGCCCUCAUGAAGCUGGAUUCGGUAGUAA
Molecule: ribosomal RNA, 1167 nt
Filed under: Haloplanus sp.
Lineage: Archaea; Methanobacteriati; Methanobacteriota; Halobacteria; Halobacteriales; Haloferacaceae
Description: bacterial SSU rRNA
Rfam family: Archaeal small subunit ribosomal RNA
Source: RNAcentral